This 443-nucleotide ribosomal RNA is filed under the name uncultured bacterium. Its description in RNAcentral is "partial 16S ribosomal RNA". It matches the Rfam family "Bacterial small subunit ribosomal RNA", at positions 338 to 795 of the family's 1533-position model. The record is from RNAcentral.
CCUACGGGUGGCAGCAGUGGGGAAUAUUGCACAAUGGGCGAAACCCUGAUGCAGCAACGCCGCGUGAAGGAUGACGGUUUUCGGAUCGUAAACUUCUAUCAAUAGGGAAGAACGAAAUGACGGUUCCUAAAUAAUAAGCCCCGGCUAACUACGUGCCAGCAGCCGCCGUAAUCCGUAGGGGGCAAGCGUUAUCCGGAAUUACUGGGUGUAAUGGGAGAGUAGGCGGCAAGGUAAGCGAUAUGUGAAAGCCUUAAGCUUAACUUAAGGAUGGCAUAACGAACUAUCUAGCUAGAGUACAGGAGAGGAAAGCGGAAUUCCUAGUGUAGCGGUGAAAUGCGUAGAUAUUAGGAAGAACACCAGUGGCGAAGGCGGCUUUCUGGAAUGAAACUGACGCUGAGGCUCGAAAGCGUGGGGAGCGAACAGGAUUAGAUACCCCUGUAGUC